GUUGGGGCAACAGCACCUAAUCGAUGGAUUCAGAAGCAGUGCCUCCUGUCAUCACCCAACCAAACAGUGCAUUCUUUUCAGGAUCUGAUGUUGAUGGGGCUACAAAUUGUAUGGAAAACCUGAACAUGGCCACGCCACCUCCGACUGAUGACACAGUAGAUGAAACAGUAGAAGAGGAGGAAAGACAGUUGUCUUCACUACCAUCUGUGCCAACACAUGCCAUCGAUGAGAAACAAA
Molecule: long non-coding RNA, 237 nt
Organism: Branchiostoma floridae (Florida lancelet)
Lineage: Eukaryota; Metazoa; Chordata; Leptocardii; Amphioxiformes; Branchiostomatidae
Exons: 3
Source: RefSeq, a predicted model, not a curated record